UACGGAGGGUGCAAGCGUUAAUCGGAAUUAUUGGGCGUAAAGAGCUUGUAGGCGGUUUGUCGCGUCUGCUGUGAAAUUUCGGGGCUCAACCCCGAACUUGCAGUGGGUACGGGCAGACUAGAGUGUGGUAGGGGAGACUGGAAUUCCUGGUGUAGCGGUGAAAUGCGCAGAUAUCAGGAGGAACACCGAUGGCGAAGGCAGGUCUCUGGGCCAUAACUGACGCUGAGAAGCGAAAGCAUGGGGAGCGAACAGG
This 253-nucleotide ribosomal RNA is filed under the name uncultured bacterium. RNAcentral describes it as "partial 16S ribosomal RNA". It matches the Rfam family "Bacterial small subunit ribosomal RNA", at positions 524 to 776 of the family's 1533-position model. The record is from RNAcentral.